Long non-coding RNA from Camellia sinensis, 1289 nucleotides. RefSeq lists it as uncharacterized. Lineage: Eukaryota; Viridiplantae; Streptophyta; Magnoliopsida; Ericales; Theaceae. The record is from RefSeq and is a predicted model, not a curated record.
CAAUGAUGUGUGAGAUCGUGGACACCAAAAUUGGUGAGGAGAAGGCUGUUACAAUUUCCAUGGAUGAUGGAAUUUGUCCAAACACAAAUACGACUAUUUGGCAAAAAUGAAGCCUGCAUUCAAGAAGGAUGAAUCCACGAUUGCUGGGAAUGCUACCCAGGUGAGUGAUGGUGCUAGAGCGGUCCUGCUCAUGAAGAGAAGUCUUGCUAUGCAGAAGGGACUUCCAAUUCUUGGUGUUUUUAGGUGUGAGCAAUAUAUACGAGAAGGGCAGCUAUUGGAGGGAUGCUACUUUAGCACAUAAAGCUGAGACUUUGGAAUUGUAGAGACAGCUUAGGCAACUGCAGACUCAGUAUGAUAUGCUUACUGGACAGGCUUCAGCAUUGAUCCAAGGAAAAAGGGCAUGAGUUGCAGCAACAUCUACUGUCAAUGGACAGCUUACUACUAUAGAUGAUAGCCUGUCAGCAAGAAAUUAGAGUUCUUGGAAGGAUGGCUUCUUCUACGGCUAAAGAGUUGGCUCAUUAUCAUUCAAGGGGUGGUAACGUGUCUUUUCCAUCCACUUUUGUCAUUUGUGCCCUAUUUUGGUUAUUUCAGGGGAUGGUAACAUGUCUUUUCCAUCCACUUUCGUCAUCAUUUUGGUUAUUUCUGUUGGCAAAUUUAUUUAUUUUAAUGUGAUAUGUAAAUUUUAAUGUAAUAAAAUUACUUUUAUCAUUUCCUUUGAAAGAUUUCUUAUGGUUAUUUGAAUCAGUGUUAUUAAAGGCGUGCCUAGGUGUGCACCUAGGCCCAAGUCCCAUCCAGGCCCAAGGUUUACGCCUUGUAGUGUUCCAGGCUAGGCGACUUCGAUAAGGCUCGCCUAGGCGUGCGCCUAUGCCCAAGUCUCGUCUAGGCCCAAGGUUUGCGCCUUCUUGUGUUCCAGACCAGGCGAUUGUGAUAAGGCGCUUGACUGGCCCAAGGCUUAUAUCUUGAGGACUUUUUUUGUUGUUGCUUUAAUUUGUUUUGUUUAAAAUUUGACUAUUGAUUUAAUAUGGUGCAGCUACAGAAGAUCCUUACUCUUAUUAAAGAUGCCAAUACGUUGGGCAUUUAACCCAAAAUCAAUGAUAGAAGAAAAACUAGCCCUAAUUCCUAAUCUCCAAAAAACACUAAAUGUUUAACAUUUUAUUUUGUUUAUGUUGACCACUAAAUUAUUUAAUUAUAUUAAAUUAUAUUUUUUUUUUCCGUACAAGGUACGCCUCACUUCGGUGAAGCCUGCGCCUCGCCUUGCGCCUUGAGCCUAGCCCUCAGGAGACCUUGGC